UAUGUGGUUUAAUUCGACGCAACGCGCAGAACCUUACCAGGUCUUGACAUACCAUUGACAGGUGUAGAGAUACACUCUCCUUCGGGCAAUGGAUACAGGUGGUGCAUGGUUGUCGUCAGCUCGUGCCGUGAGGUGUUGGGUUAAGUCCCGCAACGAGCGCAACCCUCAUUGUUAGUUACUACCAUUCAGUUGAGGACUCUAAUGAGACUGCCAACGACAAGUUGGAGGAAGUGGGGAUGACGUCAAAUCAUCAUGCCCCUUAUGACCUGGGCUACACACGUGCUACAAUGGUUGGUACAACGAGUUGCGAGUCGGUGACGGCGAGCUAAUCUCUUAAAGCCAAUCUCAGUUCGGAUUGUAGGCUGUAACUCGCCUACAUGAAGUCGGAAUCGCUAGUAAUCGCGGAUCAGCACGCCGCGGUGAAUACGUUCCCGGGCCUU
This 440-nucleotide ribosomal RNA is filed under the name uncultured Streptococcus sp. Its description in RNAcentral is "bacterial SSU rRNA". It matches the Rfam family "Bacterial small subunit ribosomal RNA", at positions 938 to 1382 of the family's 1533-position model. Lineage: Bacteria; Bacillati; Bacillota; Bacilli; Lactobacillales; Streptococcaceae. The record is from RNAcentral.